This 477-nucleotide ribosomal RNA is filed under the name uncultured bacterium. RNAcentral describes it as "partial 16S ribosomal RNA". It matches the Rfam family "Bacterial small subunit ribosomal RNA", at positions 28 to 507 of the family's 1533-position model. The record is from RNAcentral.
GAUGAACGCUGGCGGCGUGCCUAACACACGCAAGUCGAACGAAGCACCUUACCUGAUUCUUCGGAUGAAAGUUUGGUGACUGGGUGGCGGACGGGUGAGUAACGCGUGGGUAACCUGCCCUGUACAGGGGGAUAACAGCUGGAAACGGCUGCUAAUACCGCAUAAGCGCACGAGGAGACAUCUCCUUGUGUGAAAAACUCCGGUGGUACAGGAUGGGCCCGCGUCUGAUUAGCUGGUUGGCAGGGUAACGGCCUACCAAGGCAACGAUCAGUAGCCGGUCUGAGAGGAUGAACGGCCACAUUGGAACUGAGACACGGUCCAAACUCCUACGGGAGGCAGCAGUGGGGAAUAUUGCACAAUGGGGGAAACCCUGAUGCAGCAACGCCGCGUGAGUGAAGAAGUAUUUCGGUAUGUAAAGCUCUAUCAGCAGGGAAGAUAAUGACGGUACCUGACUAAGAAGCUCCGGCUAAAUACGUG